This is a long non-coding RNA of Ruditapes philippinarum (Manila clam), 2301 nucleotides long. RefSeq lists it as uncharacterized. The record is from RefSeq and is a predicted model, not a curated record. NCBI's taxonomy places the organism in Eukaryota, Metazoa, Mollusca, Bivalvia, Venerida, Veneridae. The transcript has 2 exons.
UGUUUAGGUGCAUUUUGCACAAAAUUAGCUAUACAAAAGUGUGCAAAUCACCAACGUUUAUGUACAAAAUAGAAUAUAAAAAAAUGAAACCAAAUAUAAUUUUUAUUUUUCUGUUCAUAUAAUAAUGACUUGAUGAAAACAUGUUUAACUUAGAUAUAUUAUCUCAUAGUCUUAUUUAUAAAAUAAUCAUAUCAAUAAAGAUACAGGAAAAUGUUAUUGUUAAGUAAGCCAAAUUUGUAUAAUAAGCGGUGCAAACAAGAUUUGAAUCUACAUACAUUUGAAAUAUGGGGACUUGUAGUUAGGGAUUGUAUAGAACGUGUUCAAAUAUAUGCAUGUAAGAGAUUUAUGAAUAUUAUCGUGUAAUGCAGUUGUAAUGGUAGAUUGUGGAAGAUACCCAAUGUAUAUAUACAAUGUACGUGUGUAUGCAACAAAAAGAUGUAUUAAAUUUUGGAUACGGAUUUUAUAUAUGGAUGAUGAGAGAUAUGUUAAAAAAGUUAUUUUAUGCUUAAACAGUUAGAUGAACUAGGUUAUAAAAAUUGGGUGACAACUCUACGAUUAAAUCUCUAUAAGAAUGGUUUUGGCUAUAUUUUGGAACAACAAAAGCUUGAAAAUGCAAAAUUAUUUCUUACUCUUUACGUAAAUAGAUUAAAAGAUCAAUACAUGCAAAAUUGGAACAGUGAGUGUUUAGAAAACAGAAAGCUAGUAUUCUAUAGAAAUUUUAAAUGUAAUAUUAAUUUUGAAAAAUAUCUGGAGAAAUAUAUAUUGAAAUUUAGGAGUAGUCUUGCUGCUUUUAGGUCCUCUUCUCAUCAAUUAAUGAUAGAGAAAGGAAGACAUAUUGAUAUUCCAAGGGAAAUCCGUUUUUGUAUACACUCUCGAUGUGAAAUUGAAUGCGAAUUUUUAAAAUGUCCUUUAUAUGAUACUUUAUGUCAACAAUUUAUACCAAAUAAGUAUUUGGAACAUCCAAAUAAUCAUAAAUUUAACUUAUUUAUGUCAUGCAAAAGUGUUAAGACAAUACGAAACUUAUCAAUGUUUUUAUAUUAAUGCAUUUAAACUGCGAAAUGAAUCUAUAUCUUAAAUAAUGUCUUUAUGUUAGUUGCUAAAUCUUAUUACACAAUUACAUGUUUUGUGAAAAUUGGCUAAAAUGCUGUUCUGACAACAUGUCAUUGUACUUUAUACAACUCUAUGUAAACCCGUAUAUUAUGUGAUGCUAUGUUAUCCUAACUAGCUGCCAUAUCAUUAUGCUAUUGUGUUUAUAUAUUUAUACAUGUGUAUGGGCCGGUGGCCUAAAUACAAAUUUGAAAUAAACUCUUUAUAAUACCUUUAUUUUAAAUACUUUAUACAAAAAAUAUUUUAAUAUGAAAAAAUUAUAAUGUUUCAUACUUUUAUGUACUUUUUAUUGGAACACCAAAACGUUAUUUGGCGAUGAUCACGUAUAUGUUUUUUUUUUUACUGAAUGAUUUGACUAUUUAAUUAUCUUUUAGGGUGUAAAUCCUGGAGGGCCUUACGAAAAAGCAUUACGAAAGGACUUCUACGUCAGCAUCAUAUGUUUCGUUGUUUUUACUAUAGCAUAUGCGAUAUUCGCCAGUGUAUUUGUAAAGGACCAGUGGAUGGAAUGAGUUUACAUUUAUGCAUUUCAAACCAAAAAGGAACUAUUAUGUUUUUUAUGUUUUUGAUAUACCAUGAUACACAUAAUUUUCAAUAUAAAUACUCGAGCAAAAUGGAAAGUGAACAAAAGUAUAACCAGAAUUGAUUGUUUUAUGUAUUGCUCAAACUAACUAUAUUACCCUUGCUCUUGAUUCUUAUGUGCCGUUCUUCUACACAAUAUAAUUUUCUUUGUUAUUGUUAUUUAAUUUAACUAAAAUCUCUUAAAUAGAAAGAAAUUACUUAAUUUAUGAGCAUUUUUGCCGCAUCAUUUUACAAAUACCUGAUCACACACAGCUUUGCUCUAAUGUUCAAUUGAUUGCAAUUAAAUUGAUGUACAAAAUAAGCAUAUGCUUACUAAGGAAUUAUGUUCUCGGAAUGAGUGAAUAAGAGUCCAUGAUUGAUAAAAACAUUAUAAAACAUUAUACGAAUUGUUAACAAAUAAAGUGGCAUACACUAUUUUGUAUGCAUUGGCAUGUUUUUGAAUUUCGUUCAAAAAGGAAAAAAAAAGCUUUUCCAUUUAAAAACAAUGUAACUUUCGUUGAAAAUAUCUAAUACAAACUGUUACUUUAGGGGCUUAUAAUAUAUAAGUAUAUAGGUAUAUAAUAUUUGUAUUUGUUAAUUGAUAUCAAGUCUUGAUUAUAUUUUAUUUCAAAAUCA